This 390-nucleotide long non-coding RNA is filed under the name Lonchura striata (white-rumped munia). Its description in RNAcentral is "domestica (Bengalese finch) lncRNA (ENSLSDG00000003105.1)". The record is from RNAcentral. Lineage: Eukaryota; Metazoa; Chordata; Aves; Passeriformes; Estrildidae.
GCCGGGCACUCAGCUGGGCCGCCUCUCUGUGUUGCAGGUGACGGAGCGAGGCCACGAGGACGCGGCUCCUCCCCGGGACCGUGGGGGACAUCCCCACCCUCCGUCCCAGUGAUCCCCGUGGAUCCCAGUGAUCCCCACCAUCCAUCCCAGUCACUCCCAGUGGAUCCCAGUGGUCCCUGUGGAUCCCCACCCUCCAUCCCAGUGGAUCCCAAUGGUGCCUGUGGAUCCCCACCACCCAUCCCACUCACUCUCAUCGAUCCCAGUGAUCCCAGUGGAUCCCAGUGGAUCCCCACCAUCCAUCCCAAUCAAUCCCAGCGGAUCCCGGCUGCUGCUGGGGUGGGGCAAGGUCGGUUUUCGCUCUGCACGUGAAGCUUAUUGAAAGGCGGGGAA